GGUAUUGAAAUAAGAUUUUAAAUGAGUGCUAAGAGAAUGAUUAAACAAUUAAAAGCUUUCUUUAAUUAAAUAAUUAAAUUUAAUUUUUUUAGUGCAAAAGCAAAAAUGAAAUUUAGGGACAAGAAGACCCUAUGAAUUUUUAUUGUUAAUGAUUUAAAUUUUAAUUAUUAACAAUUUAAUUGGGGUGAUAAAAAAAGAAUAAGUAUCUUUUUAAUUAUAAAAUAAGUUCCGUUUUUAGCGAUUAAAUGAAAUAAAUACUCUAGGGAUAACAGCGUAAUAAUUUUGGAUAGUUCAUAUAGAUAAAAUAGUUUGCGACCUCGAUGUUGGAUUAGGAUUCUUUUUUGGUGAAGAA
Molecule: ribosomal RNA, 352 nt
Filed under: Ixodes scapularis (black-legged tick)
Lineage: Eukaryota; Metazoa; Arthropoda; Arachnida; Ixodida; Ixodidae
Description: partial 16S ribosomal RNA
Source: RNAcentral